CGGAGGAUCCGAGCGUUAUCCGGAUUUAUUGGGUUUAAAGGGUGCGUAGGCGGAAAUGUAAGUCAGUGGUGAGAUCCUGCAGCUUAACUGUAGAAUAGCCGUUGAAACUGUGUUUCUUGAGUACAUUUGAGGUAGGCGGAAUGUGGUGUGUAGCGGUGAAAUGCAUAGAUAUACCACAGAACACCGAUUGCGAAGGCAGCUUACUAAACUGUCACUGACGCUGAUGCACGAAAGCGUGGGUAUCAAACAGGAUUA
RNAcentral lists this ribosomal RNA (255 nucleotides) under uncultured prokaryote. Its description in RNAcentral is "partial 16S ribosomal RNA". It matches the Rfam family "Bacterial small subunit ribosomal RNA", at positions 526 to 780 of the family's 1533-position model. The record is from RNAcentral.